This 495-nucleotide ribosomal RNA is filed under the name uncultured bacterium. RNAcentral's name for it is "partial 16S ribosomal RNA". It matches the Rfam family "Bacterial small subunit ribosomal RNA", at positions 28 to 507 of the family's 1533-position model. The record is from RNAcentral.
GAUGAACGCUGGCGGCGUGCCUAAUACAUGCAAGUAGAACGCUGAAGGAGGAGCUUGCUCUUCUGGAUGAGUUGCGAACGGGUGAGUAACGCGUAGGUAACCUGCCUGGUAGCGGGGGAUAACUAUUGGAAACGAUAGCUAAUACCGCAUGACAACAGUUAUUGCAUGAUAACUGUUUAAAAGGGGCAACUGCUCCACUACCAGAUGGACCUGCGUUGUAUUAGCUAGUUGGUGAGGUAACGGCUCACCAAGGCGACGAUACAUAGCCGACCUGAGAGGGUGAUCGGCCACACUGGGAAUGAGACACGGCCCAGACUCCUACGGGAGGCAGCAGUAGGGAAUCUUCGGCAAUGGACGGAAGUCUGACCGAGCAACGCCGCGUGAGUGAAGAAGGUUUUCGGAUCGUAAAGCUCUGUUGUAAGAGAAGAACGAGUGUGAGAGUGGAAAGUUCACACUGUGACGGUAGCUUACCAGAAAGGGACGGCUAACUACGUG